Molecule: long non-coding RNA, 409 nt
Filed under: Mustela putorius furo (domestic ferret)
Lineage: Eukaryota; Metazoa; Chordata; Mammalia; Carnivora; Mustelidae
Description: lncRNA (ENSMPUG00000031299.1)
Source: RNAcentral
AACAUUUAUUCAGACCCAGAGAGUGAUCCUAGUUUUUUUUUUUUUCUCCCAAGUGUUGGAUGUCUUUUGACCCAAUAUGAAAGGAGGUCCCAGAACAACAGGGCUAGGUCAUAACGAAGACCAUUGGAAAAGGUGGAUCAUGAGCUCCUGGGCAUGGCAUAGAACAAAGGGGAAUACUACCCACCAUGGACAGGCAAGCUAGAUGUGCCACUGUCAGAGAGAGAGAGAGAGAGAGAUCACAGGUAGGGGGAGCAGGAGAGAGAGAAGCAUGCUCCCCGCCAAGCAGAGAGCCCAUUGGAUCAGGCUGUUCGAGAGGUAAUGGAAGAGGGACUACGACGCCUAUUAAACCCCGGUCCUUACACAGUGAGUGGGAGUUGGGGUGGUUGGAGCGGGGGUGCGGAAGGAGGCC